CAUCCUUGUUCUUCCCUCCCUCAGCAAGCAGAGGACAUUGAUGCAGAGUUGCUGACUUUUCCCAACCAGCUUCCUCACAUUGGGAAGGCAUCGAGAAUCUGUAAAGACGAGGUCAUUGCAGACUUUGACUUGGAGGUCAGUAAGAUUGAAGAUGUGAAACUGUUCAGCAGCAAAGAGCCCAGCCUCUUAAAGCAGAUGGGUACAUUUCUUUUGAGGGCUGAAGCCAAGCUUGCAGACUUGGAGAUAUCUCUGCAGGAGCUGAAUGCACUAAGCAAAGCGGUUGCAGAGUUUUUUUGUGAAGAUCCAGCCGCCUUUAAGCUGGAGGAUUGCUGCUCCAUCUUUAACUCAUUCUGCAGGAGGUUUGAUACAGCCGUGCAGGUAAAGAAAAAGAGAAAUGGAACUCAAAGUACAGACAGUAUAAUGGGGCCUUAACACUGGACAUGAUUCACGCAGCAGAGACAUCAAGUUUCAAUGUAGAUUCAAUGUAGAGACGCGAGCUGAGGUCUCGCGGUACUAUUUGGGCACCGAACGGCGACUCUGGACACGUGACAUAUUCAGUUACGUGAUUGAAAAAUACAUCCAUUAUGGCCACUCAAUAAGAGUAUUUUUG
Molecule: long non-coding RNA, 610 nt
Organism: Oryzias melastigma (Indian medaka)
Lineage: Eukaryota; Metazoa; Chordata; Actinopteri; Beloniformes; Adrianichthyidae
Exons: 3
Source: RefSeq, a predicted model, not a curated record